This 3341-nucleotide unclassified non-coding RNA is filed under the name Hevea brasiliensis (rubber tree). The record is from RNAcentral. Lineage: Eukaryota; Viridiplantae; Streptophyta; Magnoliopsida; Malpighiales; Euphorbiaceae.
UUAGAACAACUCCAGCUUCAAAGGUUUCUAUCCUCAUCUUCUUUGAUGUUUUUGUCUUUUCUUUAACAAUGUUUGGUCACUGAGAAAACGUGGGAAGUUGAGGGAAUUUUUCGGAUAGACAAAGAAACUGAUAGACAUGGUACUCUUAAUUAUAGAAAAAUCUUUCAUUUGUUUAAGGAUUCUGAAACAAUAUAGAACAUGGGUCUCGAAAUUUUGUUUGCUUUCUUUUUUCUUUUUUGUUUUUUCUUUUUUUUCCCUAAUCAAAUGACCAAAGCGACUGUACAUCUGGGCUUGGGAAUAAACCACCAAUAUUGGGCCUAGUGACAGAUGUUUUCCCAACACCACCUCCUGAACCUUGCACAGUCCAGUCCUUCAUGGACCAACAAUUAGCUGGAGACGGCUCAAAAGGAUGGUUGGUUACAGUGCCUGUAGGACUCCCAUAAAUUAUUUCAUUCUGAAUAUUCUCUUCCUGAGCUUUCAGAGAGAAAUGGCUAUCACUCCCUGACAAUGGUGGGAAAAAGGCAUUCUGUGACCAUGGAUCAUUAUCACUUGAACCACUAACUGGACUAAACACCCCACUAUUCUGGCCAUUGCCAAGAAAAACCUUCUGUGGAGAAUGAGUACCAGAAAGGACUUGGUCAUCUUUUGAAAAAAAGGAAGCUGAAGACUGCAAGACAUCUUCCAUGGUUGAUCUGCUCCGAUCUGGGGGUAAAAGCCAGCUUCCCGGCCCACCUACCAAACCUAAACCAUCCUGACCAAGAGGAGAACUGUUCCACAUUUGCCAUGUUCCCUUCUCAUUCACAUGCACAUCAUCCACAGGCAGAGUGUGUGAAUCUUGAGCCUUAGGAGUAUUUGAAAACCAGUUAGAACCAUUAUGCUUUUCAUCAGCAAUUCGCAGUCGUGACAAUGGAGACUCAAUUGGAGAUGGCUUGUUCGCUUCAGGAGAUGCAGAUGUAUUCUUCAAUGCAUGAGGCCUUUCCAAUCCUAUGUCUGAUGCAAAACCAGUCCCCACAUCCAACUGAAAAUUAUCAAGUGAUUCUGAUACAGGCCCAAGUAAUGAUAUUGGAUCAGAAACAUAACAUGGAUCUUCAAAAAGCUCAGGUUCCUUAGGCAUAAAGUCAUGGGGCCCUUCAACAACACGAGGAAAAAUGGGUUCAAUGGGAGAUGAGAAGCCUAAACUAGUGCUACUGGAUACAUUUGGAUAUGUUGAGAGAGUAAAUGGCGAUGGCAGCCCAAAAUUGAUUGGAUUAUCAAAAGGUUGUAAUGAUGAUGAUUGCCCAUGUAACUGUGGGCUUUGAAUUUCUGCUUGGGGCUUCAAAUUAGGCCUACUAAUGACAUUUGAGUUAGAGGAUGAAGUCAUCGAUGAUGUGCGUGUAAAUAAUUGUUGCCAUGAUUUUUUAGGUGUUGUCCUUGCCGGUGUAUCCGAGAGCACCUGCCAUGAAACGGUCAACAAUUUAAUAUAGAUUUUCUUCCAAAUGCAGUGCAAAGGUACAACGGUAUUGUAAAAAAAAAAAAAAUAAAACUCAUGAAACUCAAGCACAACGCCAUAUGAGACUAUGGACUUACUAAUCAAAGUAUAUAUGCACUCACAGUCAGUUCCCAAAAAGCAUGGGCAACUAACCAUAAUGGAAGAAAUUUUUCAAUAACAAUCUGCUAUAUAUCAAAACUAUGCAAAGUCAACUCAAAUGUCAAUUUAUCAUAAUUGCUAAACAGUACAUUCUUUCAAAAUUCCUUUAGAAAUUGGCCAUAUCAAGACACAAGCACAUCAUGAGGACAAACUGAACAGAGAAUGAUAAGGUGAUUUCAGCAUACCUUACUCAGGCCACCAGUAAACAUCCUAAAAAAUUAAAAUGAGAUAAACAGCAAGACAACUUACAGGACGGUUUACAUUCUUAUCAUCUCCAUUCAUAAAUGAUUUCCCAGUUAGGCACUCAGGUGGACAUAUAUCCCUCCUACAGGCAGAAGCAUGGCCAUGAUCUACAGAACUGUUAAACUUAUUUUCUUUUGUAACAUUAGCAGGAGUAUUAGCAGACUUUCCAAAGAAAUCACUUCCUGUAAAAGCUCUAGAAGAAGACAAAAAUGUACCCCUCAUUCGAUCCAGAUACCUAGUUCCAUCAUUUCCACGGUUAUAAUUGCUUGCAGACAGAUGCUUUGUACCAUGUCCUGAUUCAGUGCUCUGGCCUUUCACAUUGUCGUUCCCAGACUUUUGAUGUUCCCGACGGUCAGCUUCACUCUUCUUCUCAUAGUCCUGCUUCCGCUCGCUUUCCUUAUCAGCUUUCUUUUCCAUCUCUUCAGCAUCAGAAUUACUCUUACUUGAACCCUUGUCUUUUUCUUUCCUUCUUUCCUGACGCCUCUUCUCUGCUUCCUUCUUACUAUCCUUCUCCCGGAUGGUUGGUGAAGAUUUGGUUCGAUAUUUUUCAGCCUCCAUUUUCUCAUCCCUCAGCCUCCUACGUUCCUCAACCAAUCUUGCAACCUCCUCCCUUUGCUUUCUUUCUUCCUCCUCCAAAAGCUCCUUCUCUAACCUAGCCUGUCUUUUCUCUUCAGCUUUUCUGCGUGCUUUUUCUCCUUUAGUCUCAUGAUAAUUUGCCCCAUUCUCACCCCUUUUAGUCAAAAUCCCCCUAUGAUCUGCAUCAGAAGAAGAGUCCUCCUUUGAUGAACUAAUUCUAAAAACCUUUCUCCAAAUCCACCUAAUGCUCAAGAAAAAAGAAGUCAACAGCUUACAUGCAGACAGCACAACACCUGAAUAAGAUUUCUCAGCCAAACAAUUCUCAUCGCCUCCAAAAUAUCCACUCCCAUUCUUCCGCCAAUAAUUAGAUUUCCCGGCAAUAGACCCACCAGCCCAAUUGCCGUUUUCUAACCAAUCCUGACUGCACAUCCAUCCAUUGUCAGACCAGGCCUUGCCGUUCAAUAUUUUCCCACCCCUGCCAACCAGAUCCUUAAUAAUCCCAGAAUUAGACAUUCCCAAUCCAGGAGGUACAGGCAAGUCUAAAACUGGCCUCUUGGAAAUAUGGCCACAAUAAGCACACAUAAAUCUACCACCACCUGGAUUCUGAUCCCUAUAUGGUGUCAAGCAGUUUCUGCACCUUCUUGUUGCAGUCUUUCGAAGCUUCUGCAAUUCAAUAGCUUCAGACCUUUUUCUCUCCCUCAAUCGUGCAUUUCUACGCACACGCCAAGCAGACAGCUGAGGCAUUAAAAUUUCAUACCAAAAAAGAGUGACCAAAAGCACAAAAACACAAGCGAGCCUGGGUGAGGUGAUCUCAAAUCGAAAAGCAGGUGGCAGAAGCUGUGAGAGAGCCCACAAUCCUAUAAGAGGAAUAACUAACCAAGGCAGCAUAGUAGCA